Oncorhynchus kisutch (coho salmon) is the source of this 329-nucleotide long non-coding RNA. RefSeq lists it as uncharacterized. Lineage: Eukaryota; Metazoa; Chordata; Actinopteri; Salmoniformes; Salmonidae. The transcript has 3 exons. The record is from RefSeq and is a predicted model, not a curated record.
AGAGGAGCCAGCAGUGUUUGCUAACAGCUGGUCAGUCGAUCUGCCCCAUGAAAGAGGCUGCCCUCUAGUGGACAUAGACUUCACUGGACCCUGCCACUCUGAGUCUGACAUGGACGAUGCCAUAGAGAAGUGCAGUGCUCUCCUGUUCUUCCCCUUCCUGUCCUGUCAUGAGAACAUCGACCCAAACCCCUACGUGGCCAGCUGUGUCUCCGACCUCUGUGUGUCAGAUGAGGAGGAGACGUUUUGCCGUGCGCUGGUGGAGUACACACGAGCCUGCAGCCAUGUAGGAUACCCUGUACGAGAGUGGAGAGACAGCUUCCCUUCCUGCA